This is a non-coding RNA of Oryctolagus cuniculus (rabbit), 726 nucleotides long. NCBI's taxonomy places the organism in Eukaryota, Metazoa, Chordata, Mammalia, Lagomorpha, Leporidae. The record is from RefSeq and is a predicted model, not a curated record.
GUGGAUAAAAAACUUUUCACUGCAGAGUCUCUAAUUGGCUUGAAGAAUCCGGAGAAGUCAUUUCCAGUCAACAGUGAUGUAGGGGUGCUAAAGUGGAGACUACAAACCACAGAAGAAUCUUUUAUUCCACUGACAACUAAUUGCUGGCCUUCAGAAAGUGGAAGUGGCUGUGAUGUCAAUAUAGAAUAUGAACUACAAGAAGAUAAUUUAGAACUGAAUGACGUGGUUAUCACCAUCCCACUUCCGUCUGGUGUUGGUGCACCUGUGAUUGGUGAGAUCGAUGGGGAAUACUGACAUGACAGUCGACGAAAUACCUUGGAGUGGUGUCUGCCAGUGAUUGAUGCCAAAAAUAAGAGUGGCAGCCUGGAGUUUAGCAUUGCUGGACAGCCCAAUGACUUCUUCCCUGUUCAAGUUUCCUUCAUCUCCAAAAAAAAUUACUGCAAUAUACAGGUAACCCAUUUUAAUAGAGUGCAUAUAUGGGGAAAGCACUAAGGUAGAUGCUGGAUAGAUAGCAUGGCUUAGCAGUACAAAAUCAUAUGCAUAUAUCCCCAGCAUAUGCUGUUUCUGACUUGUAUGAUCGUGUUCAAUUCCCUGCUUACCUCAGUUUUCCUCUCAAAGAAUUCAAUCUGCAUAUGUAUAAAAGUACUUAUGGAUUAUAUAAUGUUCAAGAUUUAUUUUAUUUAUUUGAAAGGCAGAGUUACUAAGGAGAGAUCUUGGGCUGGCACC